ACGGGAGGCAGCAGUGGGGAAUAUUGCACAAUGGGCGAGAGCCUGAUGCAGCAACGCCGCGUGAAGGAUGAAGGUCUUCGGAUUGUAAACUUCUAUCAGCAGGGAAGAAAAUGAACCAUAGGUUCAUCUGACGGUACCUGACUAAGAAGCUCCGGCUAACUACGUGCCAGCAGCCGCGGUAAUACGUAGGGAGCAAGCGUUAUCCGGAUUUACUGGGUGUAAAGGGUGCGUAGGCGGCCGCUUAAGUCUAAAGUGAAAUUUCGAGGCUCAACCUCGGAGCUGCUUUGGAAACUGAGGGGCUAGAGUAUAGGAGAGGAAAGCGGAACUCCACGUGUAGCGGUGAAAUGCGUAGAGAUGUGGAGGAACACCAGUAGCGAAGGCGGCUUUCUGGACUAUUACUGACGCUGAGGCACGAAAGCGUGGGGAGCAAACAGGAUUAGAUACCCUGGUA
RNAcentral lists this ribosomal RNA (451 nucleotides) under uncultured Cellulosilyticum sp. RNAcentral's name for it is "partial 16S ribosomal RNA". It matches the Rfam family "Bacterial small subunit ribosomal RNA", at positions 341 to 792 of the family's 1533-position model. Lineage: Bacteria; Bacillati; Bacillota; Clostridia; Lachnospirales; Cellulosilyticaceae. The record is from RNAcentral.